GGAUUCCCCUAGUAACGGCGAGUGAAGCGGGAAAAGCUCAAAUUUAAAAUCUGGCAGCCUUUAGUUGUCCGAAUUGUAAUCUAGAGAAGUGUCUUCCGUGCUGGACUGUGUACAAGUUUCCUGGAUACGGAACAUCAUAGAGGGUGAGAAUCCCGUCCUUGACACAGAUUCCCAGUGCUUUGCGAUGCGCUCUCGACGAGUCGAGUUGUUUGGGAUUGCAGCUCAAAAUGGGAGGUAAAUUCCUUCUAAAGCUAAAUAUUGGCGAGAGACCGAUAGCGAACAAGUACCGUGAGGGAAAGAUGAAAAGCACUUUGGAAAGAGAGUUAAACAGUACGUGAAAUUGUCAAAAGGGAAACGCUUGAAGUCAGUCAUGYUUGCUUGGAUUCAGCCGUACUUCGGUAUGGUGCAUUUCCCUGUAGGCAGGCCAGCGUCCAUGUUGUUUGUCGGAAAAGGGGUGGAGGAAUGUGGCUCCUUUAGGAGUGUUAUAGCCUUCRCUCGYAUGCGAGGAUCAAUAUGGAGUAGUACAGCAUGCUUCGGUGGUGCUUGUGCUGGCRUAAUGGCUUUAAACGACCCGUCUUGAAACACGGACCAAGGAGUCUAACAUGUCUGCGAGUGUUUNGGGUGGAAAACCCAAGCGCGGAAUGAAAGUGAUAACUGGGAAACCCCCUUGGGGGAGGCACCGGUGCCCCGAGCCGACCUUCUGUGACGCAUCGGAGGCAGAGCAKAUAUGUUGGGACCCGAAAGAUGGUGAACUAUGCCUGAAUAGGGCGAAGCCAGAGGAAACUCUGGUGGAGGCUCGUAGCGAUUCUGACGUGCAAAUCGAUCGUCAAAUUUGGGUAUAGGGGCGAA
This 849-nucleotide ribosomal RNA is filed under the name Clavulina sp. RNAcentral describes it as "LSU rRNA". It matches the Rfam family "Eukaryotic large subunit ribosomal RNA", at positions 72 to 927 of the family's 3401-position model. Lineage: Eukaryota; Fungi; Basidiomycota; Agaricomycetes; Cantharellales; Hydnaceae. The record is from RNAcentral.